CGAGCGGUAGAGAUCUUUCGGGAUCUUGAGAGCGGCGUACGGGUGCGGAACACGUGUGCAACCUGCCUUUAUCUGGGGGAUAGCCUUUCGAAAGGAAGAUUAAUACCCCAUAAUAUUUUGAAUGGCAUCAUUUAAAAUUGAAAACUCCGGUGGAUAGAGAUGGGCACGCGCAAGAUUAGAUAGUUGGUGAGGUAACGGCUCACCAAGUCUGCGAUCUUUAGGGGGCCUGAGAGGGUGAUCCCCCACACUGGUACUGAGACACGGACCAGACUCCUACGGGAGGCAGCAGUGAGGAAUAUUGGACAAUGGGUGAGAGCCUGAUCCAGCCAUCCCGCGUGAAGGACGACGGCCCUAUGGGUUGUAAACUUCUUUUGUAUAGGGAUAAACCUUUCCACGUGUGGGAAGCUGAAGGUACUAUACGAAUAAGCACCGGCUAACUCCGUGCCAGCAGCCGCGGUAAUACGGAGGGUGCAAGCGUUAUCCGGAUUUAUUGGGUUUAAAGGGUCCGUAGGCGGAUCUGUAAGUCAGUGGUGAAAUCUCACAGCUUAACUGUGAAACUGCCAUUGAUACUGCAGGUCUUGAGUGUUAUUGAAGUAGCUGGAAUAAGUAGUGUAGCGGUGAAAUGCAUAGAUAUUACUUAGAACACCAAUUGCGAAGGCAGGUUACUAAGCAACAACUGACGCUGAUGGACGAAAGCGUGGGGAGCGAACAGGAUUAGAUACCCUGGUAGUCCACGCCGUAAACGAUGCUAACUCGUUUUUGGGCUUUCGGGCUCAGAGACUAAGCGAAAGUGAUAAGUUAGCCACCUGGGGAGUACGUUCGCAAGAAUGAAACUCAAAGGAAUUGACGGGGGCCCGCACAAGCGGUGGAUUAUGUGGUUUAAUUCGAUGAUACGCGAGGAACCUUACCAAGGCUUAAAUGGGAAAUGACAGGUUUAGAAAUAGACUUUUCUUCGGACAUUUUUCAAGGUGCUGCAUGGUUGUCGUCAGCUCGUGCCGUGAGGUGUUAGGUUAAGUCCUGCAACGAGCGCAACCCCUGUCACUAGUUGCCAUCAUUAAGUUGGGGACUCUAGUGAGACUGCCUACGCAAGUAGAGAGGAAGGUGGGGAUGACGUCAAAUCAUCACGGCCCUUACGCCUUGGGCCACACACGUAAUACAAUGGCCAGUACAGAGGGCAGCUACACAGCGAUGUGAUGCAAAUCUCGAAAGCUGGUCUCAGUUCGGAUUGGAGUCUGCAACUCGACUCUAUGAAGCUGGAAUCGCUAGUAAUCGCGCAUCAGCCAUGGCGCGGUGAAUACGUUCCCGGGCCUUGUACACACCGCCCGUCAAGCCAUGGAAGUCUGGGGUACCUGAAGUCGGUGACC
RNAcentral lists this ribosomal RNA (1364 nucleotides) under Chryseobacterium culicis. RNAcentral describes it as "16S ribosomal RNA". It matches the Rfam family "Bacterial small subunit ribosomal RNA", at positions 63 to 1435 of the family's 1533-position model. Lineage: Bacteria; Pseudomonadati; Bacteroidota; Flavobacteriia; Flavobacteriales; Weeksellaceae. The record is from RNAcentral.